This is a long non-coding RNA of Magnolia sinica, 223 nucleotides long. RefSeq lists it as uncharacterized. The transcript has 2 exons. Lineage: Eukaryota; Viridiplantae; Streptophyta; Magnoliopsida; Magnoliales; Magnoliaceae. The record is from RefSeq and is a predicted model, not a curated record.
AGGAGUAUCAAUCCUUGGUUUGUGUGUGUUUUAGAUGGUACUGAAACACUAAGCUGUUGUAUGUGAAAAAGGAUCUUAUGUGUAGGGACCGUGGAUUGUAGUUGCCGAUGGGAAUCAACGGUCUCCCUUUCGAAUAUUUGGUAGAAUGAAAUAGAUUAUUUAAAAUCGAAAAUCUAAAAGAAAAUAAAAAUUAAGAUAAGAAGACUUAUAAAGUUGAGUUAAG